UACGUAGGGGGCUAGCGUUGUCCGGAAUCAUUGGGCGUAAAGAGCGUGUAGGCGGCUCGGUAAGUCCGCUGUAAAAGUCAAAGGCUCAACCUUUGAAUGUCAGUGGAUACUGCUGGGCUAGAGUCCGGAAGAGGCGAGUGGAACUCCUGGUGUAGCGGUGGAAUGCGCAGAUAUCAGGAAGAACACCAACGGCGAAGGCAGCUCGCUGGGACGGUACUGACGCUGAGACGCGAAAGCGUGGGGAGCGAACAGG
This 253-nucleotide ribosomal RNA is filed under the name uncultured bacterium. RNAcentral's name for it is "partial 16S ribosomal RNA". It matches the Rfam family "Bacterial small subunit ribosomal RNA", at positions 524 to 776 of the family's 1533-position model. The record is from RNAcentral.